RNAcentral lists this non-coding RNA (29 nucleotides) under Mus musculus (house mouse). Lineage: Eukaryota; Metazoa; Chordata; Mammalia; Rodentia; Muridae. The record is from RNAcentral.
UAACAGUGUUGCGCAAAUGAACUGAAGAC